UGGGGAAUUUUGGACAAUGGGCGAAAGCCUGAUCCAGCAAUGCCGCGUGUGUGAAGAAGGCCUUCGGGUUGUAAAGCACUUUUGUCCGGAAAGAAAUCCUUGGCUCUAAUACAGUCGGGGGAUGACGGUACCGGAAGAAUAAGCACCGGCUAACUACGUGCCAGCAGCCGCGGUAAUACGUAGGGUGCAAGCGUUAAUCGGAAUUACUGGGCGUAAAGCGUGCGCAGGCGGUUUGCUAAGACCGAUGUGAAAUCCCCGGGCUCAACCUGGGAACUGCAUUGGUGACUGGCAGGCUAGAGUAUGGCAGAGGGGGGUAGAAUUCCACGUGUAGCAGUGAAAUGCGUAGAGAUGUGGAGGAAUACCGAUGGCGAAGGCAGCCCCCUGGGCCAAUACUGACGCUCAUGCACGAAAGCGUGGGGGAGCAAACAGGAUUAGAUACCCUGGUAGUCCACGCCCUAAACGAUGUCAACUAGUUGUUGGGGAUUCAUUUCCUUAGUAACGUAGCUAACGCGUGAAGUUGACCGCCUGGGGGAGUACGGUCG
Molecule: ribosomal RNA, 542 nt
Filed under: uncultured bacterium
Lineage: Bacteria
Description: partial 16S ribosomal RNA
Rfam family: Bacterial small subunit ribosomal RNA
Source: RNAcentral